Molecule: ribosomal RNA, 497 nt
Filed under: uncultured bacterium
Lineage: Bacteria
Description: partial 16S ribosomal RNA
Rfam family: Bacterial small subunit ribosomal RNA
Source: RNAcentral
GAUGAACGCUGGCGGCGUGCCUAAUACAUGCAAGUCGAGCGAACGGACGAGAAGCUUGCUUCUCUGAUGUUAGCGGCGGACGGGUGAGUAACACGUGGAUAACCUACCUAUAAGACUGGGAUAACUUCGGGAAACCGGAGCUAAUACCGGAUAAUAUUUUGAACCGCAUGGUUCAAAAGUGAAAGACGGUCUUGCUGUCACUUAUAGAUGGAUCCGCGCUGCAUUAGCUAGUUGGUAAGGUAAUGGCUUACCAAGGCAACGAUGCAUAGCCGACCUGAGAGGGUGAUCGGCCACACUGGAACUGAGACACGGUCCAGACUCCUACGGGAGGCAGCAGUAGGGAAUCUUCCGCAAUGGGCGAAAGCCUGACGGAGCAACGCCGCGUGAGUGAUGAAGGUCUUCGGAUCGUAAAACUCUGUUAUUAGGGAAGAACAUAUGUGUAAGUAACUGUGCACAUCUUGGCGGUACCUAAUCAGAAAGCCACGGCUAACUACGUG